UACGGAGGAUCCGAGCGUUAUCCGGAUUUAUUGGGUUUAAAGGGUGCGCAGGCGGGAGAUUAAGUCGGCGGUGAAAUUUUGCAGCUUAACUGUAAAAGUGCCAUCGAUACUGGUUUCCUUGAGUAUAGAUGAAGUAGGCGGAAUUUGUGGUGUAGCGGUGAAAUGCAUAGAUAUCACGAGGAACUCCGAUUGCGCAGGCAGCUUACUAAACUACUACUGACGCUCAGGCACGAAGGCGUGGGGAUCAAACAGGAUUAGAUACCCGCGUA
RNAcentral lists this ribosomal RNA (269 nucleotides) under uncultured prokaryote. Its description in RNAcentral is "partial 16S ribosomal RNA". It matches the Rfam family "Bacterial small subunit ribosomal RNA", at positions 524 to 792 of the family's 1533-position model. The record is from RNAcentral.